Molecule: long non-coding RNA, 208 nt
Organism: Octopus sinensis (East Asian common octopus)
Lineage: Eukaryota; Metazoa; Mollusca; Cephalopoda; Octopoda; Octopodidae
Exons: 4
Source: RefSeq, a predicted model, not a curated record
GGAAGUAUGUUAAAGUUAUUAUUAUUUUGGAAUGAAGAACACAAACAUAGGUGCUGAGCCAGUGACUAAACUUGUAGUAUUUUGUUGAGAUUAAUCCAAUGACUUGACAGUAAGGUAAUUACUUCUAUCAGAAUUGUUUACCUUUAAAGUGAAAAAACAAAACUAACGAAUACGACAGAACAUGGCUAUAGAGCAUUUUAAAUUUUUU